This 494-nucleotide ribosomal RNA is filed under the name uncultured bacterium. RNAcentral describes it as "partial 16S ribosomal RNA". It matches the Rfam family "Bacterial small subunit ribosomal RNA", at positions 28 to 507 of the family's 1533-position model. The record is from RNAcentral.
GACGAACGCUGGCGGCGUGCUUAACACAUGCAAGUCGAACGGUGAAGCGCCUUCCUUUUUGGUGGGUGUGGAUGAGUGGCGAACGGGUGAGUAACACGUGAGUAACCUGCCCCCUUCUUCUGGAUAACCGCAUGAAAGUGUGGCUAAUACGGGAUAUUCUGGGUCUGUCGCAUGAUGGGUCUGGGAAAGAUAUUGUUUCGGUGGGGGAUGGGCUCGCGGCCUAUCAGCUUGUUGGUGGGGUGAUGGCCUACCAAGGCGGUGACGGGUAGCCGGCCUGAGAGGGUGGACUGUCACACUGGGACUGAGACCCGGCCCAGACUCCUACGGGAGGCAGCAGUGGGGAAUAUUGCACAAUGGGCGCAAGCCUGAUGCAGCGACGCCGCGUGAGGGAUGGAGGCCUGCGGGUUGUGAACCUCUUUCGCCAGUGAAGCAGGCCUGCCUCGUUUGUGGGUGGGUUGACGGUAGCUGGAUAAGAAGCGCCGGCUAACUACGUG